CGGACGGGUGAGUAACACGUGGAUAACCUACCUAUAAGACUGGGAUAACUUCGGGAAACCGGAGCUAAUACCGGAUAAUAUAUUGAACCGCAUGGUUCAAUAGUGAAAGACGGUUUUGCUGUCACUUAUAGAUGGAUCCGCGCCGCAUUAGCUAGUUGGUAAGGUAACGGCUUACCAAGGCAGCGAUGCGUAGCCGACCUGAGAGGGUGAUCGGCCACACUGGAACUGAGACACGGUCCAGAUUCCUACGGGAGGCAGCAGUC
This 263-nucleotide ribosomal RNA is filed under the name uncultured Staphylococcus sp. RNAcentral's name for it is "partial 16S ribosomal RNA". It matches the Rfam family "Bacterial small subunit ribosomal RNA", at positions 99 to 355 of the family's 1533-position model. The record is from RNAcentral. Lineage: Bacteria; Bacillati; Bacillota; Bacilli; Caryophanales; Staphylococcaceae.